AUGUCCCCUUGAGUUCCCUUAAACGCUUCAUUGUUCAUUGUCUAAUAUCUACAGAUAAAUUAAUCUAAUGAACACUGAAGUGUUUGGGGGGACUCUAGGUGGCAU
MicroRNA precursor from Arabis alpina (gray rockcress), 105 nucleotides. It matches the Rfam family "mir-395 microRNA precursor family". From Rfam's summary of the family: mir-395 was identified in both Arabidopsis thaliana and Oryza sativa computationally and was later experimentally verified. mir-395 is thought to target mRNAs coding for ATP sulphurylases. The mature sequence is excised from the 3' arm of the hairpin. Lineage: Eukaryota; Viridiplantae; Streptophyta; Magnoliopsida; Brassicales; Brassicaceae. The record is from Rfam.